RNAcentral lists this ribosomal RNA (502 nucleotides) under bacterium ROME1152sh. RNAcentral describes it as "bacterial SSU rRNA". It matches the Rfam family "Bacterial small subunit ribosomal RNA", at positions 14 to 492 of the family's 1533-position model. The record is from RNAcentral.
UGAUCAUGGCUCAGAUUGAACGCUGGCGGCGUGCUUAACACAUGCAAGUCGAACGAGAAAGGGGCUUCGGCCCUGAGUAGAGUGGCGCACGGGUGAGUAACGCGUAGGUAAUCUACCCUUAUAUUCGGGAUAACAUCGCGAAAGCGGUGCUAAUACCGGAUAUCUUUGUAUGGACGCGAGUCUGUAUGAGGAAAGGUGACCUCUCCAUGGAAGUUACCGUAUGAGGAUGAGCCUGCGUACCAUUAGCUAGUUGGCAGGGUAAUGGCCUACCAAGGCGACGAUGGUUAGCGGGUCUGAGAGGAUGACCCGCCACACUGGAACUGGAACACGGACCAGACUCCUACGGGAGGCAGCAGUGAGGAAUAUUGCGCAAUGGGGGCAACCCUGACGCAGCGACGCCGCGUGAGUGAUGAAGGCCUUCGGGUCGUAAAGCUCUGUCGGAAGGGAAGAAUGGCCAUGAGGUUAAUAUCCUUGUGGAAUGACGGUACCUUCAGAGNAAGCA